Long non-coding RNA from Biomphalaria glabrata, 4619 nucleotides. RefSeq lists it as uncharacterized. The record is from RefSeq and is a predicted model, not a curated record. Lineage: Eukaryota; Metazoa; Mollusca; Gastropoda; Planorbidae. The transcript is spliced from 7 exons.
UUAAUCAAAAUCUUACUUCACUAAGACUUGUAUUUGUGUUUAUCUGCCUGUACACAUUUUAUUACAACUUUCAGGUUAAGAUGCUGAGUAGAGCUUAGUGCUCCUCAGAUGUAGGUAAUGAAAAGAACUACAAGUUAUAGGGAACAGGAAAAAGCAGUGUAGCAAGCUUAUCCAGAAGUUUUUUCAGUCAAGCCUAUUUCAUUCUUGUGGUUCUCUAGCCAUCAAGAAUUCUGGACAUACUUUCCAUUCAUCAGUAUAUGAUGUUUCCAUAUAUCAUCAGCUUAACAAGCACACAUUCUCUGCUGCCAACAGUACCAAUUUGUCAACCAAGCAACAAAUAUUCCUUGGUAAUCUGCUAUCAGAUAACAGUUUUCUCGUUGGCAUUUUUAUGAAUUAAAGCUUUCAAGGCUUAAGUAAGACUUACUUUUUUUUUCUUUGACUGCUAAUUCUAAAAUAAUUUAUCAUUGCAUGUUAAAAAUAAUAAAGAACUUUUUAUACAUAUUUCUCUACCAUUUUUCAGUGUUUUGGUCACGUUUCAGAUUUGUUUAGCAUAAUCCUGUACUACAUAUUAACAAAUGUUUGGUGUGUCUAGUUCAUCUCUCUCACUAUGAAGAUGGCUACACACUAUCAGCAAUGCACCCCUAUGAUAUACAAGUCUUCAUUGCCAAGUCACUCUGCCAAACAGUGUGUACACCUUUCUUGCAAUGGUAGUACAUUACUGUACUUCAAUCACUUCAGGAGUCUGGAUAUGUCAGCCCAAGGCCAAGGAGAUCAAGUUUGUGUCCAAGGUUACUUAGGUAAUUCUCUAAGAACAAUAGGUUUUUUUUUUAAAGACAGACACUACAUGUUGCUGAUCUGUGGGUUAGUGGCUCAAUCAUUGUGCACUGAUUCUCCACUGAUGCCUUGAUUGCCAUAAGUUUAUCUACUGAUCUACAGAUCAAGGGACUAAAUGGUCUAUUAAACAUGAGGUCAAGGAAAAAGGAUGAACAUUUCAAGGCUGCAGGAGGAACAUUAAACAUCUCUCUCACUGUGAAAAGAUUCUACCGAUCUACAAAUGAUCAACAUGUUUUAUCUAAAGUUCAUCUGCCAUUUCUUCAAAUGGAGCCAUAGUCAGAAUAAGAUUCUUUUUGUUCUUCCUUAGGUUCAAAUGUAUCAGUUGUUUUUGUUGACAGAUAUCAAGGUACAGAAAUAAGAAUCUAAUUUAGAGUUUUUUAAAGCUUGAUUAGUCAUAAUAUUUGCACUAUUAUUUCCAAUAUGUGCCAGAGUGUCUGCUAAAUGUAACUAGUAUGAUUAAAAACAUGGUCAUUGCAAAGUCUAACAUAUGAACAAGUAAGAUGCUUGUGGCUUGAUUCAGUGAAAGAAUGUUGGACAAGCAGAAGUGUUAUGGAGUGGGUGUGUGUGUGUUUUUAUGGUGACUGUGGAAAGAGGUUAGCGAUUGGAUGUGAAUGAUGCAAAAGUGGCAUUGUCGUCACUUGGUCUUAGGGGAGAUGACUCCAGAAUGUAAGACUGAAAGGUUGUGUUAUUGUAGUGAGUUAGAUUGUAAGAAAUUUUAUUACUUAAGUCUCUACUACAUUUAUUUCAUGUGAUCACAAGUAUUAUAAAUGUUAUAUUUAGUUUCGUUCACUAGGAAGUUCUUAUUAGCUAAGAUAUAUUAUGCCUUCAACAGUUUAGUUGCCUACCAGCAGUCUGGUGCUACAAGUCAACAACAGUCAGACUAAAUUAAAUAAAGCCAUGUCUAUUUCUACAUGAUUUUGUUGCUACUAACCUGGUGUUACUAACAACUAACUUGAAAAGGGAGAGGGGAAUUAUCAUCUUAUUCAUGCUCUAACUCUUCAAAUUCUAUAGAAUUGCAGAGAACUGACAUGAAAUAAAACAUUAACAAAAUGUGUAUUAUAAUUGUCAUUUUUCCUCUACUUAGCAUUUUUUUGUCUCCUAGAUUUUCAUAUUUUGUUGAAGUCAUUUCAGUUCUCAAUUAUUUUGUGCACUAAGUUACAAGAAAAAAUUCAAGCAAAAGAGGUCACUACACUAAGACUUUGUCUUCUCAUAAGAAUGGAUGGCUGCCUGGUCAUGUGAUAUGUGUGCUGGACUGUGUGUGGUCAUCUUGAUGCUCAUAUCUUGCCUGAUGACAUUUAUUCUGCUGGACAUUUGGUCAAGGAAGUAGAUUCUCUUCAGCUCUCAAGAAACAUUUAAACAUGUCAAACAUUUGACAAGAAUAUCAAACAAGUGCAGUGUACAUACCAAUAUGAUGAAGAUGUAGACCGACAUGAUGAGAUGUAGACUGACAUGAAGAUGAAAUGUAAACCAAAAUAUUCAUCAAGAGAUAUAUGGAAUAAAAAGUGAACAUCUUGAGAGGGAAAACAAUUCCUAGAGGCAAAGACACAGACACAGUAGAUACAUAAGAGAUUGUUUCCUUUUCUACCAUCAUUUAGAGCCUUUUUUGUGAGGGAACCUGCAUCUGAAAGAACUGAACAUUUCCCUAAUGCUACUUCAAAUUCAGAUCUCCUCCCAACCUCAGGCUGAGUACCCGUGGUCACCUACUUUAUGUUACAUUACCAUAGCACUACAGACAGUGAAAAACAAAUUAUAUGAAGGAAUGCAACCACCAUCAGAUAUUGUUGUCUUUACAGACUCCCAAUCUACUCUGCAAGAACUUAACAGCAGCACCUCAAACAGCUCAAGAGAGUUGACAACACUCAUUGUGAUAAUCCAUCAGAUGAUAUCAAAAUUAAAUAUCAAUAUCACACUACAGUGGAUCCCUGGACACAUUGGCAUCAUGGGAAAUGAAAAGGCAGAUAAGCUAUCAAAGGCAGGUUCAUCUAUGGAACAACCAGAUAGACCUGUUAACUACCUCACCAUAAGGUCAAUGUUAGUCAACAAUCACAAAGAGGAGUGGCUCAACCAAUGGGCAUCAGGAAACACAGGCAGAGCCAUGUACAAAGAAAUGACUACGCCUAACAAACUGGACAGUAUUAACUUCCUCCCCUGCAAAGAACAAUCUACAAUUUUCCAACUAAGAACAGGACACACUCCACUAUUAAAUUACCACCUGAACAAAAUAAACUCCACACAACUCCUCCUUUGCAGACACUGUGCCAACCUCUUUGAAACCGUAAACCAUAUCCUCUUUGAAUGCCCCUCCCUAAUCCACCUUAGGCAGACCCUACUUCCGCUACAGCCCAACAUAACCAACGCCCUGUACGGCAGUGCUGAACAACUGAAGAAAACAGCACACUUUUUUUCCUUGGCACAGUCUGCAAAAGAGCUCACAGCUCAGCAGCAAUAAAGCUGGCUAGAAGAAGAAGAAGAAAAAGAGGUUACAUUACAAGAAGUGGUUGCAAAGUCAGAAAACCUAACUUAUGACAAUGAAUAGAACAAUCAUUUCUAAUAUAGGUACAAGUGAUGUACUUUGUAAUAACUAUUUGGGUGGAAUCACCAUAAUUGAUUUGUAUCUUGUUCUAUAUUUAGGUAAAUCUUGUCAUUCAGUCCAGUCAUUGUUCUUUUUCUUUUUAAUAUUCCUUUUUUUCCCCUCAAUUUUCUUGUUGUUUCAGUGAAAUCUUUUUUGUUUUGGAGCAGGGAGGGGCUGUGGUAUAUUAUCAUUAUUGGAGUCACAACACCAAAGCCUUGCUACAUUAUGCUUUUAAUUCAAUUUAUUAUCUCCCCUGCUUUUGUGUGCUAUCAUAUUAAUGUUCAUUAGUGUCACAUCCAUGCACAAUUUGUUCUAUGCUUUUUAUAGUGUAAAUAGUGACUUGACAUUAUUUAGAUCAAUUAUAAUAUGUUAUAUUAUAUUUAAACUAAAACUGUUAGCAUUUUCUAUGCUAUUAUUAAUAUGAAUGUGUUUGUGUGUUGCUAUGAAUGCAUUUUAAGUUUUAGUCUGAAAUCAUAAAUAAGAAAUUGUUUCAUAAACAAAGAUUAUAUUAAUAUUUAAUAUUGUCAGACUUCACCAUAGCACUGAGUUCAUCCCCAUAAUCUAUUUAAAACUUUCAAAUACUAAUUCACUUUGUCUUAUCUAAUGGUGAUCAUGGGGGUAUUCACUAUCCAUAGUCUCUGGUAUGAACACUCACUAUCCUGGUUAGGGCUAGGAUGUAAUCUCUAUUUCACAUGUAAAACCAAGAAAACAAACAGUAGACCUAGACUUUAUUAACAGGUCAUGCAAGCAUUUUUUUUAUAAUUGUGAACUGACGCUCCCAGAGCUAUUUUUAUGUAUUUUUAUUUUUGCUACUUUUGUAGACUAGUGCUAAGAAUUUGUAUUUUUUUUUCUAUAUGUAAAGCUACUUUAUAUAUAUAGUUAUAUAUUAUGGUACAUUAUUUUUCUAAUUGAAACAACUGUCAAAAUAAUUGGCAGUUUGUUUUUUUAAAGUUUGUUUUAAAAUGAUGGCCACUUCUAAUGUUUAUGUACUAGAUCUUUUCCUAAUUUUUUUGUUUUUUUAUCUGAGUGUUUUGUAACUGCUGCUUUGCUCAUUUGAAUUAAAGUAUCAUUUUGUUAUUUCUUCUCUUUCUUGAUUUCUUUGGUCACAGAUACAACCCACCCAGUUGACCUUCUGGCAACUGUAACUUCUUGUUAGUGCAGGCUAGACAUGACCUUGGGCCCUGCCAUGCUAACAUAAUACUAAUAUUCUCUU